GCUGGGCAUGGUGGUGCACACCUGUAAUCCCCGCAACUCAGGAGGCUGAGACGGGAGGAUCAUGAGUUCAAAGCCAGCCUCGGCAAAAGUGACGUGCUAAACUACUCAGUGAGACCCUGUCUCUA
Molecule: small RNA, 125 nt
Filed under: Marmota monax (woodchuck)
Lineage: Eukaryota; Metazoa; Chordata; Mammalia; Rodentia; Sciuridae
Source: RNAcentral